CUGGCUCAGAACGAACGCUGGCGGCAGGCUUAACACAUGCAAGUCGAACGGUUGCAGCAAUGCAGCAGUGGCAGACGGGUGAGUAACACGUGGGAACCUUCCUAGGGGUACGGAACAACUCAGGGAAACUUGAGCUAAUACCGUAUACGUCCGUGAGGAGAAAGAUUUAUCGCCCUUAGACGGGCCCGCGUCGGAUUAGCUAGUUGGUGGGGUAACGGCCUACCAAGGCGACGAUCCGUAGCUGAUCUUAGAGGAUGAUCAGCCACACUGGGACUGAGACACGGCCCAGACUCCUACGGGAGGCAGCAGUGGGGAAUCUUGGACAAUGGGCGCAAGCCUGAUCCAGCCCAUGCCGCGUGAGUGAAGAAGGUCUUCGGAUUGUAAAGCUCUUUUGCCAGGGACGAUAAUGACGGUACCUGGAGAAUAAGCCCCGGCAAACUUCGUGCCAGCAGCUGC
RNAcentral lists this ribosomal RNA (456 nucleotides) under uncultured bacterium. RNAcentral's name for it is "bacterial SSU rRNA". It matches the Rfam family "Bacterial small subunit ribosomal RNA", at positions 19 to 518 of the family's 1533-position model. The record is from RNAcentral.